Long non-coding RNA from Piliocolobus tephrosceles (Ugandan red Colobus), 626 nucleotides. RefSeq lists it as uncharacterized. The record is from RefSeq and is a predicted model, not a curated record. The transcript is spliced from 5 exons. Lineage: Eukaryota; Metazoa; Chordata; Mammalia; Primates; Cercopithecidae.
AGGAAUCCAUAUAAAUAUCCAUGAUAACCCCACGUUUAUUUUUCAAUGUAUGAUUUGGAUGAAACAAGAGAAAGAGACUGACUGUUGCUGAGUCCCUGCUGCAGUCCUGACACAGCUGGAGACACCCUGCUCUCCUUAUUUUGUUGAUGCUUAUGAGGACCAUGUUGUCUGAGGAAGACAGUUCCCAUCCAACUCUGCCCCUGGUGUGUCACCUGCUGGCCUUGUCAACUCACACGAGAACCUGACAGGGACCCACCCGAGAAGAGGCCAUGGCUUGGAGCACCUGGUAGUUGUCCACAGUGAAGACCAGAGUUUCGUUGUCCUCAAGACUGACCUGGGGGGACGUGGCUGCGGGCCAGUGAGGAAGAAAGGUGAGACAACUUGAAGAGAAGGCCAGACAGGGAGCUUCCAGGUCAUAGACAGGUGACUCUCAGAGGGAGUCCUGUGUUGGAGACAAGCAUUCUGACCUGUAGCUGAUUGCAGGAGCUUUCAGGAAAGCAUCAGUGGGAAAUAAUAUCUAAAUGACAAAAGCAAAGAAGGAAGCUCCUGCCCCUCCUAAGGCCAAAGCCAAAGCAAAGGCUUUAAAGGCCAAGAAGGCAGGGUUGAAAUGUGUCCACAGCCCCCCA